This is a non-coding RNA of Vicugna pacos (alpaca), 3123 nucleotides long. The record is from RefSeq and is a predicted model, not a curated record. NCBI's taxonomy places the organism in Eukaryota, Metazoa, Chordata, Mammalia, Artiodactyla, Camelidae.
AUAGAUGCGAUAAGGGAGGAGCUGCGCCGCGGAGCGUUUCUAGGGUGAAAAGGCUGCCGUGAGGCCCGGGCGGAGGCGAGAGAGGAUUCGCCGCCGCCGCCGCCGCCGCCGCCCGCCCAUUCCUCCAGCAACAGGUUCCCCCGGGAGCGGGAGGGGCGGGAGCGAAGCGCAGCUCGCAGAGCGGAACGUCCCCGAAGUCCCCGAGCCGUCGAUCCCGCCCGAGGCAGACGGCGCUUCCCCCGAACCUCCCCCGGAGUCCCCGCCGGACCCCACCUCCGGGACUCGCUCGCCCCGCCGUGGCCUGGAGCGCACCCCAUCCUAAACGGAAGGCACUCGGCCGCUACUGUAAUGCACCCCCAACCUGUAAAAUCUUGAAGAUGUUAAAAGGACUCAUGGAUAAAUAACAUUUACGUCACAUUUAUCCUCAUCUAGAAGCUUCUGGAAGAAAAAGAAAUAAGUCUAGAAAAGAAGUAUAAUGGACUGUCUUGAAAACAAGGUAUGAGAGGUUUCUAAUAAUAAUAGUAAGUAAUUUAAAACACAUUUAUUGGAUGUCUUUUCUGAGCCAGGCUGAGGACUAGGGAGACAACUGUGAGCAAAACAUGCACAGUUUCUGCCCUUUUAAACUUUAAAGGCUUUAAAGGAGAUAGACAAGUAAGCAGUAAUCAUUAAGUGUGAUAGGUGCUUGGAUAGGGGAAUUUCAGGAAGUAAGGGGCAAAUGUCCUGCUCUCUAUGGGCAUAAAUUAUCAAAUCUAGGAAAUCUGGAAAGUUUUCCAGAAGAAAUUAUACUUAAACAAUAAUACAGAAAGUAGGAAAGCCAGGAAAAGGAACAUGAGAUGAGGGGAGAGCAUUCCAAAGAAUAGGAACAGUAUGUGCAAAGGCCCUGGAGUGGGUGAGAGGGGAGCAAUUUAGAGAAAUUAAAAGUCAGUGGAGUGUGGCUGAUGUGAGAAUUCUAGAGAAGUAGCAAUGAGAAAGGCAUCUAGAAAGGUAGACAGACACCAGAUUUGAGAGAGCCACUUAAACUGUGAUAAGGAGUUUGAACUUUAAUCUGAGGGAAUGGGAAACCACUGAAACAUUUAUACAGAGAAGAGAGGUGAUGGAUGUUAUUUAAAUUUUUAAAAGAUCUGCCUAACUGCAUUGUAGAGGAUGGUGUAGAAGAGAGAAAGAGUAAUGAUGGAGAAUCCAUUUAGGAGACAAGACCAGUCAGUCUUCCUAGGUAACCACUUUGAAAUGAAAGAGUUUAGUUUUAUUUUCUUAUCCAAUCUACAAUAUUUGUCAUUUUGUUCUAGGUUUCCAGUAGUUUUACUAUGAUAUGUCUAGGGGUGAUUUUCUUUGUACUUGAUUUCCAUGGAGUUUGCAGAGAUUCUUGAAUAUGUGGCUUGAGAACGUUCAUAGCUUGACGAACUUUGGCCAUUAUUACUUUGUAUACUACUUCUAUUUCAUUUUCUCUCUGGGACUUCAAUUAAAUGAAUGUGAGGCUCUUUUCACUAAAUCACAUCUAUUUCCAAUGCUUGUUUUGUGUUUUUUAUUCUUUACCUCUGUGCUUCAGUCUGGAUUGUUUUUUCUGUCCUUUUUUCUAGUUCACAAAUUCUCUAGUUCACAAAGUUCUCUUCAGGUAUAUCUUACCUGCUAAAUCUAUCUAUUGAAUUCUUAAUUUCAGUUAUUGUAUACUUAAGUUCUGUAAUUUCACUUUAAUUCUUAUGGUUUCCAUAUCUGUACUGAAAUUCUUUUAUCUUGUCAUUUAAUUUAUUGAGCAUAUUAAUUAUAACUAUUUUAUAGUCUAUAUCUGAUAACUUCCAUAUCUGGAGCUCCUGUGGGUUUGUUUCUAUCGUCUGAUUUUUCUCUUCAUUACUAAUUGAUUCUUAUAUUUUUAUAAGCAUAAUUUAAAAAAUUUUCUGGGCAUUGAAUUUUGUAGAUUAUAUUAUUGCUUAAAAACAAUAUAGAUGACCUGAGGUUCUAGGUGAUGUUAUCUUCUUUAUGAGUGGAUUUAUUUUACCUUCUGGCAGGUAAUUGGGAGUUGGGAUGAUGAACAAAGGAGUCUAAUAAAGGAUUAAGUCUUUUUUGGAAGCCAGACCUCAGUCUUUGCAGGGGCUGGUCUACUUUUGGUCCACCCUGCUCCUAGCAUUUAGGGUUCCCAACUGUUUUAGUUAUGUAUUAUGUCUCAAACCACUCUGAUACUUGUGGCUGUAAACAACAAUGGUAAACUAUUUCUCAUAAUUCUCUGAGUUGACUGGACAGCUCUUCUGCUCCAUUUGAUAUUGGCUGGGAUUACUCAUAAAGCUCCAUUCACCUGAGAGCUUUGCUGGUGCAUUUUGGUGCUCUUCCACAUGGCCCCUCUCUUCAUAUAAUAUCCCAUCCUCUAGUGCUUCUCCACGCGGCCUAUUUCUCUUUUGAACUUCAUUAAGCAUGGAGGCUGGUUUCUAAGAGGGAGAAUUCCAAAGUGCAAACCCUGGUGAGCAAGUGCUUAUCAAAUCUCUGUUUGUGACACUUUUACUAAUGUAACAUUGAUAACAACAAAUCACAUGGCCAAGCCCAGAGCCAAUGUGAAGAGAACCACCCAAAGGCACAAAUAUGGAAAGGUGUGUUUCAUUGGUGGGCCAGUGUAACACAUUACCAUACCAAAUAAAAGCCUGAGGUGUUUCUCAGGGCACUUCCUCAUUAGUGGCCCUUGAUCUCCAAUUUUUGUCAUCUUGGUCCUGUAAGACUGCCCAAAGCUCUCCUCAGCUUCUUGGCUCGUUGGUUGCCAAUUAAGAACUGGCAAAGGCAUCAAUGGGAAAAGCAGUGCCAAUGGUGGGCUCACCUCUCUGUACUUCCUUUCUCUUUGGGAUUUGGCCCUUCAAGUUCUCACUUGGAAAUUUUCUGUUGCCUUCACAUAGAUAUUUCUUCUAUUCUUUCCAGCUUUUCUAGUUGUUCUCAGUAAGAGGGUUGGUUUUAAACAAGAAGAUCUGUCAUUGCUGGAAGCAGGAAUCCCAUAGAAUGUAAGAAGACGGACAAAAGUACUUCGAGGUAGGGAGUAAAAGAAGUAGAUCCUGACAGAGGGAGAUUUUCCAAGACUAGGAAGAGGUUAGUAUUUUGUGGAUUCCAUGGCGGGGAAGAGCCCUAUGGCCUCACAGUGCCCCAAGAAGU